RNAcentral lists this ribosomal RNA (594 nucleotides) under uncultured Bacteroidota bacterium. Its description in RNAcentral is "bacterial SSU rRNA". It matches the Rfam family "Bacterial small subunit ribosomal RNA", at positions 122 to 715 of the family's 1533-position model. Lineage: Bacteria; Pseudomonadati; Bacteroidota. The record is from RNAcentral.
CAACCUGCCGACAACACUGGGAUAGCCUUUCGAAAGAAAGAUUAAUACCGGAUGGCAUAAUUUUCCCNCAUGGGAUAAUUAUUAAAGAAUUCCGGUUGUCGAUGGGGAUGCGUUCCAUUAGGCAGUUGGCGGGGUAACGGCCCACCAAACCAACGAUGGAUAGGGGUUCUGAGAGGAAGGUCCCCCACAUUGGAACUGAGGCACGGUCCAAACUCCUACGGGAGGCAGCAGUGAGGAAUAUUGGUCAAUGGACGAGAGUCUGAACCAGCCAAGUAGCGUGAAGGAUGACUGCCCUAUGGGUUGUAAACUUCUUUUAUACGGGAAUAAAGUGAGCCACGUGUGGCUUUUUGUACGUACCGUAUGAAUAAGGAUCGGCUAACUCCGUGCCAGCAGCCGCGGUAAUACGGAGGAUCCGAGCGUUAUCCGGAUUUAUUGGGUUUAAAGGGAGCGUANGCGGGUUGUUAAGUCAGUUGUGAAAGUUUGCGGCUCAACCGUAAAAUUGCAGUUGAUACUGGCGACCUUGAGUGCAACAGAGGUAGGCGGAAUUCGUGGUGUAGCGGUGAAAUGCUUAGAUAUCACGAANAACUCCGANUG